AUAUUUACCUGGAAAGGGAGAGGAGAGACACUGUGAACGGUGUUUUCCCAGGGAAAGGCUUAAUUAUUGCAUUCCAGAUGUGCUGACCUCUGCCAUUUUCCCCAAUGAGGAAAAAUCAAUUAUGUUCUGUGUAGUGGACUGCUGUGUUUACUCUCUUUAC
RNAcentral lists this small nuclear RNA (160 nucleotides) under Meriones unguiculatus (Mongolian gerbil). RNAcentral describes it as "U1 spliceosomal RNA (ENSMUGG00000026447.1)". It matches the Rfam family "U1 spliceosomal RNA". Rfam says of the family: U1 is a small nuclear RNA (snRNA) component of the spliceosome (involved in pre-mRNA splicing). Lineage: Eukaryota; Metazoa; Chordata; Mammalia; Rodentia; Muridae. The record is from RNAcentral.